This 495-nucleotide ribosomal RNA is filed under the name uncultured bacterium. Its description in RNAcentral is "partial 16S ribosomal RNA". It matches the Rfam family "Bacterial small subunit ribosomal RNA", at positions 28 to 507 of the family's 1533-position model. The record is from RNAcentral.
GACGAACGCUGGCGGCGUGCCUAAUACAUGCAAGUAGAACGCUGAAGGAGGAGCUUGCUCUUCUGGAUGAGUUGCGAACGGGUGAGUAACGCGUAGGUAACCUGCCUGGUAGCGGGGGAUAACUAUUGGAAACGAUAGCUAAUACCGCAUAACAGUAGAUGUUGCAUGACAUUUGCUUAAAAGGUGCAAUUGCACCACUACCAGAUGGACCUGCGUUGUAUUAGCUAGUUGGUGGGGUAACGGCUCACCAAGGCGACGAUACAUAGCCGACCUGGGAGGGUGAUCGGCCACACUGGGACUGAGACACGGCCCAGACUCCUACGGGAGGCAGCAGUAGGGAAUCUUCGGCAAUGGACGGAAGGCUGACCGAGCAACGCCGCGUGAGGGAAGAAGGUUGUCGGAUCGUAAAGCUCUGUUGUAAGAGAAGAACGAGUGUGAGAGUGGAAAGUUCACACUGUGACGGUAUCUUACCAGAAAGGGACGGCUAACUACGUG